RNAcentral lists this ribosomal RNA (254 nucleotides) under uncultured bacterium. RNAcentral describes it as "partial 16S ribosomal RNA". It matches the Rfam family "Bacterial small subunit ribosomal RNA", at positions 524 to 776 of the family's 1533-position model. The record is from RNAcentral.
CACGUAGGGUGCAAGCGUUGUCCGGAUUCAUUGGGCGUAAAGGGCUAGUAGGCGGCUUAGCAAGUCGGGUGUGAAAUUUCCAGGCUUAACCUGGAACCGCCAUCCGAUACUGCUAUGGCUAGAGUCCGGUAGGGGACCACGGAAUUCCUGGUGUAGCGGUGAAAUGCGCAGAUAUCAGGAGGAACACCAGCGGUGUAGACGGCUUUCUGGACCAUUGCUGACGCUGAGACACGAAAGCGUGGGUAGCAAACAGG